ACCUCGGUGGUGUAGUGGUAGCACGCGCUCCCGGUAUAAGUGAAAGGCAGAUUCAAUUCCUGCCUGGAGUC
Molecule: non-coding RNA, 71 nt
Organism: Parelaphostrongylus tenuis
Lineage: Eukaryota; Metazoa; Nematoda; Chromadorea; Rhabditida; Metastrongylidae
Source: the annotation of a GenBank genome assembly